GGGAUUGCCCUAGUAACGGCGAGUGAAGCGGCAACAGCUCAAAUUUGAAAUCUGGCGCAAGCCCGAGUUGUAAUUUGUAGAGGAUGCUUCUGGGUAGCGACCGAUCUAAGUUCCUUGGAACAGGACGUCAUAGAGGGUGAGAAUCCCGUAUGUGACCGGCCCGCACCCUUUACGUAGCUCCUUCGACGAGUCGAGUUGUUUGGGAAUGCAGCUCUAAAUGGGAGGUAAAUUUCUUCUAAAGCUAAAUACCGGCCAGAGACCGAUAGCGCACAAGUAGAGUGAUCGAAAGAUGAAAAGUACUUUGGAAAGAGAGUUAAAAAGCACGUGAAAUUGUUGAAAGGGAAGCGCCUGCAACCAGACUUCGCGGCAGUGUUCCGCCGGUCUUCUGACCGGUUUAUUCUCUGUCGCGAGGCCAUCAUCGUCUGGGCCCGCCGGAUAAGACCUUAGGAAUGUAGCUCACCUUCGGGAGAGUGUUAUAGCCUAGGGUGAUGCGGCGAGGCUCGGGCGAGGUCCGCGCUUCGGCAAGGAUGAUGGCGUAAUGGUUGUCGGCGGCCCGUCUUGAAACACGGACCAAGGAGUCUAACAUCUAUGCGAGUGUUCGGGUGUCAAACCCCUACGCGUAAUGAAAGUGAACGGAGGUGGGAACCGCAAGGUGCACCAUCGACCGAUCCUGAUGUCCUCGGAUGGAUUUGAGUAAGAGCAUAGCUGUUGGGACCCGAAAGAUGGUGAACUAUGCCUGAAUAGGGUGAAGCCAGAGGAAACUCUGGUGGAGGCUCGCAGCGGUUCUGACGUGCAAAUCGAUCGUCAAAUUUGGGUAUAGGGGCG
Molecule: ribosomal RNA, 825 nt
Filed under: Septoria stellariae
Lineage: Eukaryota; Fungi; Ascomycota; Dothideomycetes; Mycosphaerellales; Mycosphaerellaceae
Description: eukaryotic LSU rRNA
Rfam family: Eukaryotic large subunit ribosomal RNA
Source: RNAcentral